This 503-nucleotide ribosomal RNA is filed under the name uncultured bacterium. Its description in RNAcentral is "partial 16S ribosomal RNA". It matches the Rfam family "Bacterial small subunit ribosomal RNA", at positions 30 to 523 of the family's 1533-position model. The record is from RNAcentral.
AUUGAACGCUGGCGGCAGGCUUAACACAUGCAAGUCGAGCGGGGUGAUGGUGCUUGCACUAUCACUUAGCGGCGGACGGGUGAGUAAUACUUAGGAAUCUGCCUAUUAGUGGGGGACAACAUCUCGAAAGGGAUGCUAAUACCGCAUACGUCCUACGGGAGAAAGCAGGGGAUCACUUGUGACCUUGCGCUAAUAGAUGAGCCUAAGUCGGAUUAGCUAGUUGGUGGGGUAAAGGCCUACCAAGGCGACGAUCUGUAGCGGGUCUGAGAGGAUGAUCCGCCACACUGGGACUGAAACACGGCCCAGACUCCUACGGGAGGCAGCAGUGGGGAAUAUUGGACAAUGGGGGGAACCCUGAUCCAGCCAUGCCGCGUGUGUGAAGAAGGCCUUAUGGUUGUAAAGCACUUUAAGCGAGGAGGAGGCUCUUUUGGUUAAUACCCAAGAUGAGUGGACGUUACUCGCAGAAUAAGCACCGGCUAACUCUAUGCCAGCCGCCGCAGUAA